UGGGGAAUAUUGCACAAUGGGCGAAAGCCUGAUGCAGCGACGCCGCGUGCGGGAUGAAGGCUCUAGGGUUGUAAACCGCUUUCAGCAGGGAUGAGGCCGAAAGGUGACAGUACCUGCAGAAGAAGCCCCGGCUAACUACGUGCCAGCAGCCGCGGUAAUACGUAGGGGGCAAGCGUUAUCCGGAUUCAUUGGGCGUAAAGCGCGCGUAGGCGGUCUGUUAGGUCAGGAGUCAAAUCCGGGGGCUCAACCCCCGUUCGCUUCUGAUACCGGCAGACUUGAGUUUGGUAGGGGAAGGUGGAAUUCCCAGUGUAGCGGUGGAAUGCGCAGAUAUUGGGAAGAACACCGGUGGCGAAGGCGGCCUUCUGGGCCAUAACUGACGCUGAGGCGCGAAAGCUAGGGGAGCGAACAGG
Molecule: ribosomal RNA, 410 nt
Filed under: uncultured bacterium
Lineage: Bacteria
Description: bacterial SSU rRNA
Rfam family: Bacterial small subunit ribosomal RNA
Source: RNAcentral